RNAcentral lists this unclassified non-coding RNA (202 nucleotides) under Hevea brasiliensis (rubber tree). The record is from RNAcentral. Lineage: Eukaryota; Viridiplantae; Streptophyta; Magnoliopsida; Malpighiales; Euphorbiaceae.
AUAAUACAUCAAAUAAUGUUGCAGUAGAAAGAAUGUUGGAGGCAAAUUUUCCCCAUCUACACUGAACUCCUUGUGCAAGCCAUUAUAUAGAUUUGAUGUUAGAAUAUAUUUUUAAGAAUCGGGUUUUCAAAUAAACAUUCUGCAAAACUAUUGAGCUUACUAAUUUCAUAUAUGACUCCUCAGGAGUUCUAAAUAUAUUGUG